RNAcentral lists this unclassified non-coding RNA (286 nucleotides) under uncultured Leotiomycetes. RNAcentral's name for it is "sequence contains ITS1". The stretch from base 1 to 105 matches the Rfam family "5.8S ribosomal RNA", at positions 50 to 154 of the family's 154-position model. The record is from RNAcentral. Lineage: Eukaryota; Fungi; Ascomycota; Leotiomycetes.
GAAAUGCGAUAAGUAAUGCGAAUUGCAGAAUUCAGUGAGUCAUCGAAUCUUUGAACGCACAUUGCGCCCCGUGGUAUUCCGCGGGGCAUGCCUGUCCGAGCGUCAUUUCAACCCUCAAGCCCUGCUUGGUGUUGGGCCCUGCCCACUGCGGCCGGCCCUAAAAUCAGUUAGCGGCGCCGUUGGCCCUGAGCGUAGUAAUGCUCUCGCUCCAGGGUCCCGCGGUGGCUCGCCAGAACCGACUCCAACGGUUGACCUCGGAUCAGGUAGGGAUACCCGCUGAACUUAA